This 227-nucleotide ribosomal RNA is filed under the name uncultured bacterium. Its description in RNAcentral is "partial 16S ribosomal RNA". It matches the Rfam family "Bacterial small subunit ribosomal RNA", at positions 402 to 646 of the family's 1533-position model. The record is from RNAcentral.
UGAGUGAUGAAGGCCUUCGGGUUGUAAAGCUCUUUCGCACGUGACGAUGAUGACGGUAACGUGAGAAGAAGCCCCGGCUAACUUCGUGCCAGCAGCCGCGGUAAAACGAAGGGGGCUAGCGUUGUUCGGAAUUACUGGGCGUAAAGGGCGCGUAGGCGGUUUAUCAAGUCAGGCGUGAAAGCCCCGGGCUUAACCUGGGAACUGCGCUUGAGACUGUGAGACUAGAG